GAUGAACGCUGGCGGCGUGCCUAAUACAUGCAAGUCGAGCGAACGGACGAGAAGCUUGCUUCUCUGAUGUUAGCGGCGGACGGGUGAGUAACACGUGGAUAACCUACCUAUAAGACUGGGAUAACUUCGGGAAACCGGAGCUAAUACCGGAUGAUAUUUUGAACCGCAUGGUUCAAAGGUGAAAGACGGUCUUGCUGUCACUUAUAGAUGGAUCCGCGCUGCAUUAGCUAGUUGGUAAGGUAACGGCUUACCAAGGCAACGAUGCAUAGCCGACCUGAGAGGGUGAACGGCCACACUGGAACUGAGACACGGUCCAGACUCCUACGGGAGGCAGCGGUAGGGAAUCUUCCGCAAUGGGCGGAAGCCUGACGGAGCAGCGCCGCGUGAGUGAUGAAGGUCUUCGGAUCGUAAAACUCUGUUAUUAGGGAAGAACAUAUGUGUAAGUAACUGUGCACAUCUUGACGGUACCUAAUCAGAAAGCCACGGCUAACUACGUG
RNAcentral lists this ribosomal RNA (497 nucleotides) under uncultured bacterium. RNAcentral describes it as "partial 16S ribosomal RNA". It matches the Rfam family "Bacterial small subunit ribosomal RNA", at positions 28 to 507 of the family's 1533-position model. The record is from RNAcentral.